RNAcentral lists this transfer RNA (76 nucleotides) under Vibrio cholerae. Its description in RNAcentral is "tRNA-Arg". It matches the Rfam family "tRNA". Rfam says of the family: Transfer RNA (tRNA) molecules are approximately 80 nucleotides in length. Their secondary structure includes four short double-helical elements and three loops (D, anti-codon, and T loops). Lineage: Bacteria; Pseudomonadati; Pseudomonadota; Gammaproteobacteria; Vibrionales; Vibrionaceae. The record is from RNAcentral.
GCGUCCGUAGCUCAGCUGGAUAGAGUACCUGGCUACGAACCAGGCGGUCAGAGGUUCGAAUCCUCCGGACGCGCCA